RNAcentral lists this ribosomal RNA (301 nucleotides) under uncultured bacterium. Its description in RNAcentral is "partial 16S ribosomal RNA". It matches the Rfam family "Bacterial small subunit ribosomal RNA", at positions 509 to 807 of the family's 1533-position model. The record is from RNAcentral.
CAGUAGCCGCGGUAAUACGAAGGGUGCAAGCGUUAAUCGGAAUUACUGGGCGUAAAGCGCACGUAGGCGGAUCGAUCAGUCAGGGGUGAAAUCCCAGAGCUCAACUCUGGAACUGCCUUUGAUACUGUCGAUCUGGAGUAUGGAAGAGGUGAGUGGAAUUCCGAGUGUAGAGGUGAAAUUCGUAGAUAUUGGGAAGAACACCGGUGGCGAAGGCGGCGACCUGGUCCAUAACUGACGCUGAGGCGCGAAAGCGUGGGUAGCAAACAGGAUUAGAUACCCCCGUAGUCCCUGUCUCUUAUAC